GAGGGUUUUAGAUCGUUGCUGCUAACAAUGAUGCGGGGUUUGGGAAGGCCCAACCCUCU
Molecule: transfer RNA, 59 nt
Filed under: Brachydistomum sp. PakPr2
Lineage: Eukaryota; Metazoa; Platyhelminthes; Trematoda; Plagiorchiida; Dicrocoeliidae
Description: tRNA-Ser
Source: RNAcentral